UUCAGCUGUGGUCUGUUGAGAGUCUUUCUGAAGAAUGGCUAAAAAGCAAAGGUCAUGAUGACAUAGCGGGCUUAAUAAAGAUGCAGACUUGGCAAGGAUACUAAAUCCUUGUGCAAGGAGUUGUAUAAACAACAGGAUGUGAGUCCAGAUAAGUAAGUUGAAAGAAACCAUAUGGAAGAGAAAAUAAGACCGCUACGUUUGCAGAUCUCAUAGAAUAGCUCCCAUCAAUAAGGAGCUCAGCUUUUGCAAUAUGUAUGAGCUAAUUAGUAGUACUAUAAGUAUGUGUAGAUUAUUACAAUAAACGAGACUUGCUGACCACAA
Molecule: long non-coding RNA, 321 nt
Organism: Corvus hawaiiensis (hawaiian crow)
Lineage: Eukaryota; Metazoa; Chordata; Aves; Passeriformes; Corvidae
Exons: 3
Source: RefSeq, a predicted model, not a curated record